This is an RNA transcript of Lycium barbarum (goji berry), 2272 nucleotides long. RefSeq lists it as uncharacterized. The record is from RefSeq and is a predicted model, not a curated record. The transcript is spliced from 3 exons. NCBI's taxonomy places the organism in Eukaryota, Viridiplantae, Streptophyta, Magnoliopsida, Solanales, Solanaceae.
UAUAAAAAGGAAUUACAUAAUGUACGGUUUUGGUAUAUUUUGGUUUUCUCCUUAUGAAAAAUCAAAUUUCAAAUCUCCAUUUUCAUAUUAAUUGAUUGGAGUUGUCUUCAUUUAAGAUUUUAGUUUUUCUUGUUUUCAUUUCAGUGUAGCAAAACUAAGAAUCGACAAGUGAAACAAAAGCUUACUUGGGAACUGGUUGCAUUAAAUAUUUGAAUGUGUGCGUUGAUAAGAUUAAUACAAACUGUAUGUGAUAUUAUGAUUGCAUAUUGUUCAUUGAGUAUGUGAAAUCUAUAUACUUAUACUUAUACUUAUACUAUAAAAAACAGGAUAGUAUCAGGACAAAAAGUGGUUAGUUUAGUUAUUAAUUAGUUAAUUUAGUUACUGCUUUUGAAGUUAAUUAUAUAUACAUCUAUAUAUUUUAUUUUAAAUAGGGAAGUUGACAUUUUAAUAAAUAGAAAAUAAUAAAAAAAAAGAAACUGCCAGAUCAAGUGGUUACAACUUCAUUUUCAUUUAACUUCUGCUUAGGAAAAGAGAAAAAAUGAAGGGGAAAAAGAAAAAAGAAAAAAGAAAAAAGAAAAAAGAGAGGUGAUUUACAAUGGAAAUAAGAAAGAAAGAAAGUGGGCAAGAAAAGACGGAACCAGCCCCAUCACCCCCAUUACCCACGUUUUUGCUAUAGCUGCAAUCUGCAAUAUGCAAUUCAAUAUUUUUGAAACCAACUUCUCUUUUUUCUUUCAGCUUUAGAAUUUAAAGUCCAUUACACUUCUUUUUAAAUUUUCACGCUUUGACCGGUAACUGCUGCAAAUCCACGUUUGAUCCCACUGCCCCAUUUAGCAUCUGCAUCCAAAUGCUCCAAUUUCCUUUCAGAAAAUCGUAACAAAUGAAAACUGCAAAUCCAGUUGAACUCAACGCAGAGAAGAAAUCAUCAUCGGAGAAGAGUCUGUGAGAAGAUGUAUAUGGUCUUCUUGCUGGACUUUAUUUGUAGUUUUCCCAUUGAAAUAUCAAAUAUAAAUGUAUGUUGCAAGCAAAUGACUGGCAGCAGAUGCGACCAGAUUCCAAAGACUAUUACUUCGUAUUGCAGCUUCACUAUCACACUCUCUGAUGAACUCUGGUGCAAGGAAUGGUCAAAACAGGUGGCAAGGCACCAUGAUUCAAGGUGUUGUAGUUGUUUAUCAACAUUUUGCUACAAUUUUGUUCGCCAUUUUCGUGCAUAGUGUUUAAUGUGAGUAUGUUUCUUUAGUAUUAUUUGCUAUCCAGCGUCUACUUAUAUUGUUGGCUAACAUGUGAUUUUAAUGAUACAUAUUUUCAGUUUGCUUUUUAUCCAAAACCAGGUGAUGUCAAAUACUUAUAUCCAUUACACAUCUGCCCUUGAAUUAAAAUAGACGAACGAUUCAUAUGUAGGUAUGUGUUAUCCUAAAACUACUGGCAUCAUAUGUACUUUUUAAAGGAUGGAUGAUUUUCUACAAUCUUAUAUGGGAAAUUGAAUUCUUUAACAGGUAGAUCUCUCGCUAUCUUUAGUUUCAGUCUAUUUGAAUUAAAUUUAUCCGAACAAUUAGCUAGAAGAGAUGUUUAUGAUAUCCCAAUAAGUCUAGCUAAAUACUUGAUUGAUAAGUCAAACAAACUUUUAGAUUCUCAAAUACUCUAUUGCGUAAAUUUGGUGAAUUUUUAUUUGCAAUUUCUCAAGCGUUUUCCUGUUUGGUAAAGGAACCUCUGAACAAAUUAUAUGCAGUCACUGUAAUAUUUUAAUCUCACAAGUUGAUUAAUUAAAUGCUCUUUGUCUGACAGUUGUUGAAACUAAUAUCAUUAGGCUAAUCUUGAUGGAAAUGGAGUGCUGGACUACCAGAGUUGAUAGCAGUUAUAAUCCACUUGUAAAGAAAGAUGAGCAUUUUCAUAGAGCAUUCAUAUUCUUUGACAAAGAUGGGAGUGUUUAGAUUGAGCUUGAUGAGCUACGAGAAGCUUUAGCAGAAGAAUCAGGUGCAUAGGACACUGAUGUACUGAAUGAGAUCAAAGUUAAUAUAGAUAAAGUUAGACUCAUCUUCUCUCUCCAUUUAUUAGCACUACUAUGUUGUUGAAAUAGUGAAACUGCUAUUCAAUUUAUCGCUUAGUUAGCAGACGUUCACUGCAUAUUAACUUAAUUAGUUAAUAGUUAAUUCUCAACAUUGAUCUUGCCAAAAGUGUUAACACCCUGUAGUGUUCACGCUAUAUUUGCAGAUCUAGGAUACACGAUGUAGUACAACUUGAAGUAGCUUGCUAUUGCUCAUAGUUUUCUGAUUUA